Non-coding RNA from Dendrothele bispora CBS 962.96, 80 nucleotides. NCBI's taxonomy places the organism in Eukaryota, Fungi, Basidiomycota, Agaricomycetes, Agaricales. The record is from the annotation of a GenBank genome assembly.
GGUUCAAUGGUCUAGUGGUUAUGAUUUCUGUCUUACAAUUCUAUCACAGAAGGUCUCCAGUUCGAUCCUGGAUUGAACCA